AGUGAAUAGAUACCCGGGUAGUCCACGCCGUAAACUAUGGAUGCUAGCUGUAUUCGGUAUCGACCCCGAAAUGUAGCGAAAGCUAACGCGUUAAGCAUCCCGCCUGUGGAGUACGGUCGCAAGACUAAAACAUAAAGGAAUUGACGGGGACCCGCACAAGCGGUGGAGCGUGUUGUUUAAUUCGAUACUAAACGAAGAACCUUACCAGGGUUUGACAUCUCGGGAAGGUCUCUGAAAGGAGACUGUGCCAUUUGGAACCCGAUGACAGGUGUUGCAUGGCCGUCGUCAGCUCGUGUCGUGAGAUGUUUGGUUAAGUCCAUCAACGAGCGCAACCCUUAUAGUCAGUUGAAUUUUUCUGGCUAGACCGCCCGGCCAACGGGAGGAAGGAGGGGAGUGAUGUCAGGUCAGUAUUACCCUUACC
RNAcentral lists this ribosomal RNA (421 nucleotides) under uncultured bacterium. Its description in RNAcentral is "bacterial SSU rRNA". It matches the Rfam family "Bacterial small subunit ribosomal RNA", at positions 774 to 1206 of the family's 1533-position model. The record is from RNAcentral.